UACAGAGGGUGCAAGCGUUGCUCGGAAUCAUUGGGCGUAAAGGGCAGGUAGGUGGUCUUAUUUGUCCGGGGUGAAAGCCUGGGGCUUAACCCCAGAAGGGCCCCGGAAACGGUGAGACUAGAGUACUGGAGAGGGUCGUGGAAUUCCCGGUGUAGCGGUGAAAUGCGUAGAGAUCGGGAGGAACACCAGAGGCGAAGGCGGCGACCUGGACAGUGACUGACACUCAGGGACGAAAGCUAGGGGAGCGAAUGGG
RNAcentral lists this ribosomal RNA (253 nucleotides) under uncultured bacterium. Its description in RNAcentral is "partial 16S ribosomal RNA". It matches the Rfam family "Bacterial small subunit ribosomal RNA", at positions 524 to 776 of the family's 1533-position model. The record is from RNAcentral.